GAAUGGGUUUGAUAUGUGUUUGAAGUGAUAAGCCAAGGAGGGUAUUUAUAGGUUGAGAUGGCUGCUAAAAUUAGCAAAAAUUAGCAGCCAUAGAGUCCCCCCAUGGCCAGCCACACAUGUGGCAAGUUUGAAGGAUUCAAACUUGCUAUUUUAAGGUAGGGGCAAAUCUAGAAAUGCAUAAAUAAUAGAGGGGUUUGAAUGAAAUUUGAAG
This 211-nucleotide long non-coding RNA is filed under the name Gossypium raimondii (Peruvian cotton). Its description in RNAcentral is "long non-coding RNA (GRAI_LNC008507)". Lineage: Eukaryota; Viridiplantae; Streptophyta; Magnoliopsida; Malvales; Malvaceae. The record is from RNAcentral.